RNAcentral lists this ribosomal RNA (170 nucleotides) under Leiopotherapon plumbeus (silver perch). RNAcentral's name for it is "partial small subunit ribosomal RNA". The record is from RNAcentral. Lineage: Eukaryota; Metazoa; Chordata; Actinopteri; Centrarchiformes; Terapontidae.
CACCGCGGUUAUACGAGAGGCUCAAGUUGAUAGAACACGGCGUAAAGCGUGGUUAAGGAAGAUUAUGAAACUAAAGCCGAACCCCCUCAGAGCUGUUAUACGCUCACGAUGGUUAGAAGCCCAAUUACGAAAGUAGCUUUACACACCCUGAAUCCACGAAAGCUAUGGCA